GGAGAGGUGGCCGAGCGGUUGAAGGCGCCGCUCUCGAAAAGCGGUAUCCCCACCGGGGAUCGUGGGUUCGAAUCCCACCCUCUCCGCCA
RNAcentral lists this transfer RNA (89 nucleotides) under Chloroflexota bacterium. Its description in RNAcentral is "Chloroflexi bacterium (groundwater metagenome) tRNA-Ser". It matches the Rfam family "tRNA". From Rfam's summary of the family: Transfer RNA (tRNA) molecules are approximately 80 nucleotides in length. Lineage: Bacteria; Bacillati; Chloroflexota. The record is from RNAcentral.